UACGAGAUUUGGCUUCCGUGUCUCUCUCAAUGGCGUGGAGGUGAAGGGUAACGUAAGGAGAACACAUUUUUUUUUCAGCUUCACUUCACUCGAGGAGACCAGCCUCUCCUCGUCUCGUCUCUACCGGCCUCGGCCCCUUCUGCUUCGUCGAGGAGGAGGGGUAGGGGGAAGAGAUCUAGCUGUCGGGUACCUUCUCCGCGACCGCCGCCGGUUCUCCUCUUCCAGCCUCGUGAUGGUGCCGCAGCGGCUGCCCGGCAGGAAGGCGUACCUCCUGGAAGGCCGCCUCCAAGUCGGCCAAUAUUAGAGUGACGACGGUGACUUUCUCCGGCACUCCUGUUCGUAACAAAGUUCUUCAACCUCUUACGAGACCUCUAAGGUGACGCUAGAUACAAAGUUACUUGCGCCACUACACCUAAGAUUGUGGCUACUGUUAAGGCGACUAGUCCAAUUACCGUGACCGUGGUUACUGGUUAGGUGAUUAGUCACACCAUGGUUUUAUUGUGCUCGUUUCAAGUAACUCUGACAUUUAAGUCAAUAAGUUGUCGUAUCACCCCAUCCUUAGUUAUUCAAGUCGUAGUUCACACCGGACGAGUAGCUCCUGAGACUUGUAGAACUGUCCACCUAACUCAAACGGCGAAGUAGUUUCCGUUUUUGUUAUCUAAAACUAAACUUCUAUAAACUAAUGGGUCAACUUCUUCAAGGGGUAAAAGGAGAACUCCGGAAUCUACGAGUUCCAUCGAGUGAACACGUCAGGAACAGAGAACGGUCACAAAGAUAUUUCGGUUCGAGUCCUUAUACGGCGAAAUGUUAUGAGUCUUCCGAACAAAACUUUAGACAAGUCUAUAAACCUCUAAAAGGUCCGAACGAACGUUUAACAAGUUCUGAACUCCUGAAUCUCUAGUAGUCCACAAGACCACACCUACUGAAGUAGCAUGGUUUGUCUGAGCUAUUUGAAGUUUUAAACGACUAACGACCUUGCCUACAGGUCUACCAACAAUAAGUACGUCGACUAGAACGAGUAAAACUCAUACUUCCUGCUGACUAGGGAUAUCACGAAGUACCAACGAGUUUUAAUCUCUUCCGUUGUUAACGCAAACUAGGUGAUUAGGAAUACGUGACCGGGUACGUAAGUUAUAUUAAUGUUCGUAAAGGGGUCACUUCUAUAAUUAACACGCUCGAUAAUAUAGUUGUAUACGUGUCAGGGACCUCGACGGUAAUUCUGGUGUCCCGUACAAAUACGUAGACUCCGUAUACUGAACAGUUUAACAGCAGAUAACAUCUCUUAAUUUACUUCUAUUACCUGAAGAAGUUGACCGGGUAACCAACCUGCGACGUGGGGCUGACCUCUGCAACGUGAACGUAUACGUGAUAGACUCAGGGCCACGAAAGAAGUCACGGCUCCACCGCCCCCGCCUUCCAGGGACAUACACAGCGGUACUAGUAGAAUUCUGCCAGAAGUACCCACCCAAAGUCACAAUGUUCAGAGUCUAACUCGACCGCACGAGAUAGAACCCUUUACGAAAACAUGAACUCGUCGACUGUUAGCUUGGUUCCGAGUGUCUUCGUUAUACCCCACUAUUCAGAAUGGUCACCUUAUAUCCGGAACUUUCUUAAAAUGGUUCCCAGACACUUACCCGUGUCGCUUGGAGCUUCGCGAAACCAUUCCACUAGUGGCAGAAUCUACGGGGGGAAGUGUCACUCAUU
RNAcentral lists this ribosomal RNA (1704 nucleotides) under Triticum aestivum (bread wheat). RNAcentral describes it as "partial small subunit ribosomal RNA". The record is from RNAcentral. Lineage: Eukaryota; Viridiplantae; Streptophyta; Magnoliopsida; Poales; Poaceae.